GCCUGAUUUGCCUGUUUCAAUUUCCCAUCGAUCUCUGGUAACAUCCCUUAAACCACACCCACUGCGCUCAUGUAGUAGCUGUAAAGGGAAGAAACCAAUGGAUUUCUGCAGCACUCCCCGGUAAGCACACAAAAAAGCAGACAGAGAACACUCCCAGGAUAGAUGUGCUGUAUCAACACCCAUCAUCUCUUUCAUUUUGCGGUCUGUCUGCUGGGCUUGUUGCACUAUCAGACUCUGAACCUUUGGUUCACAAUCAGAAAGUUGCUUAGGUGUAUGCGUGAGUUGUGAUAAACUGACAAGGUUCCUGGUUCCUCCAACAGUAUGUUUCCCUGCAGCCAUCCUUCCUGGACCCACAGGCGGAGUCUGUCCGUGCCCCUCACUUUCACUCCAGGUCAUCACACAUACAGAACUUUGGAAACUGGCUAAGUCUGGCGCAGAGUAAAGCUCCCACACCCUCUGCUCUCCCUCAUAGCCUUGCUGUCCCUUCACAUUUUCACCCAGUGCAUCACAUACAUCUGCUUCAGGCACAUAUAUUCCUUGAGGCCCCUCUCGCUGGAAGGCUUUUCCCAUACAUUUUCACAGGACACAUUUGACCCCCCUUGAUCAGAUACAGAAUUUUGCACACACUCACAUAAUUUCUUCUCCAAGGCAGGCCCUCCUCUCAGAAUCUCACAUAGCACCUCAGACUGCUGCAGCCCUGACCCACUGUUGACUUGUUACCACUGCAACUAGUGGUACACAUCCCUGGCUCUCACCUUCCUCCUCCCCCUUACUCUCUGACAUCCCAGACUCACAGUAUUUUGAUACAGGCACAUCACUACUCACCCCUAUCUCACAUUUGGUAGACAUCACUGGUUCAGUUACAGGUAGAUAUUUAUCCACACCCUGCUCUCCCUCCCAGCAAUCACACUUCACAAUGUCUCCCAAAGUUUCACACAAUACCUUAGGUGGAGCAGUCAGCCCUUCUGGCUCACAAACAGUGUCCGCUGGAGCAUAGUGACAGAACAUCCUGCCCAAAUCAUUCCCCAACAGAACAUUAACAGGGAUAUCCUCCGAAACCCCCACUUCCCGCAAACCUUUGCCCGCACCCCAAUCAAGGUACACACGUGCCAAGGGCACAGCGGGGCGUACACCCCCAAUUCCUUUGAUGGACAUGGUUCUUCCAGCGAUUAUGUCCUCCGUAUUUACCACUUCAGGUCGCACCAGGGUGAAGGAAGCUCCAGUAUCUCUCAGUCCCAUGGUCACUCGGUCACCCACAAUUACACUCUGCAGGUUAUCCUCUCGUUUCCCCACAGACCCACCCACAAGCAAAACUGAUGGUGCCCCUCCACGGGCUGGUGAGGGCAUAUUCCUAGUGGGGCAAGUCCUGCUCAGAUGACCAAUCUGGUUGCAUCGAAAACAACGGCGGGCAUCUGACUCACUUGACAUAGCCCCGGCUACGCUGGCAGUCGGCGGUGAAGUUCUCACUGCAGAUCUUACAGGUGGUGAUUGAACUGUAGCUUCUCUCCAGGUCGAAGUAGCAGCUGACACAAGUCCACGCCUGGAUGUGGGUGCAUGGAUGUCGGCAUAGUCAUCUGCCAGUUCUGCAGCAGCCCUAGCAUUUUUUGGCUUUCUUUCCAAAAUCCACUCUCGUACAUUAGGGCUCCGGGUCUGCAAGAACUGCUCCAGGACCAUUAAGUCAUUAAGGGCUUCAUAGGUAGUAGCUUGUACUCCUGUUACCCAUUGCUGGAACGUGGUUUCUAAUUGUGCAAUAUAUAGAAUGCAGCUGGAUGAUGGGCAUUGCUGCAUACUCCUAAACUUUUUCCUGUAAGACUCAGGAGUAAGGUUAAAAGUUUUUUGCAAUGCAGAUUUGGUUGCCUCAUAGUUGUUAUCAGUCUCUGGGGGAAGGGACACAAAACACAUCCAAGGCUUUCCCUUUCAAUUGUGGAGUUAAAUAUCUGCCCCACUGGUCUGAGGGUAGUUGAUGCUGCCUGCAUACUUUCUCAAAACUUUUUAAAAAUACAUCCAAAUCUGUCCCUUCUUC
RNAcentral lists this long non-coding RNA (2023 nucleotides) under Pelobates cultripes (western spadefoot toad). Lineage: Eukaryota; Metazoa; Chordata; Amphibia; Anura; Pelobatidae. The record is from RNAcentral.